GACGAACGCUGGCGGCGUGCUUAACACAUGCAAGUCGAACGCUGAAGCUCAGCUUUUGUUGGGUGGAUGAGUGGCGAACGGGUGAGUAACACGUGAGUAACCUGCCCCCUUCUUUGGGAUAACGCCCGGAAACGGGUGCUAAUACUGGAUAUUCACUGGUCUUCGCAUGGGGGUUGGUGGAAAGGGUUUUUCUGGUGGGGGAUGGGCUCGCGGCCUAUCAGCUUGUUGGUGGGGUGAUGGCCUACCAAGGCUUUGACGGGUAGCCGGCCUGAGAGGGUGACCGGUCACAUUGGGACUGAGAUACGGCCCAGACUCCUACGGGAGGCAGCAGUGGGGAAUAUUGCACAAUGGGCGCAAGCCUGAUGCAGCGAUGCCGCGUGAGGGAUGGAGGCCUUCGGGUUGUGAACCUCUUUCGCUCAUGGUCAAGCCGCAACAAUGGUUGUGGUGAGGGUAGUGGGUAAAGAAGCGCCGGCUAACUACGUG
This 483-nucleotide ribosomal RNA is filed under the name uncultured bacterium. RNAcentral describes it as "partial 16S ribosomal RNA". It matches the Rfam family "Bacterial small subunit ribosomal RNA", at positions 28 to 507 of the family's 1533-position model. The record is from RNAcentral.